GAGCUGCUCAGUGCCCAGCUUAGAGGACCAGGAAAAGGAGUCACCGGCCGUAUGCUGGAGGCUUGAGACACGGCACAGCGGCGCAGCUCGCCUCGCUAUGGUUGGUGGUGGCAGUGGAGAUUGCGAUUGCUGGAGGUCCUUUAGGUUGUUUGAGGGACAUUCAUCAAGGAAACCGGAGAAACUUAAAACGCUCUUCCGCUUCUUUGGAACAGUCACAGAGAAAAGUGAACUCCUUUCAUUCUUGCAGUAAUUUUUCUUGCUGAUGGGAACAGUUCAAGUCAAGUGACAUGUGAGGAACAUUUUGUGUUUAACGUAAACCUUCCUGUCCCAACCACAUUGAAACAGUAAUGAUGUGACAAGAUUUUGAAAGAACAAAGAGGAACUACAGAAUCAUUGCUUACAUUGACACUGGCCCUAUGGUCCCAAUGGAUGGGUUUUUUUUGGAUGAAUGUCAAAAUUGACCCUGCUGUUAAAGCUUGAAACUUGGAUCUGUUGUAUCUGAGUUCUCUCCUCAAAAAAAAGACCUUCAGGAAGUAUCAGAUAACUGAAACAUACCAGAUCACAGCACCACAUGCCUCCUGCCCCUCCCUAAUUUCUGUUCUCUUAUACAUUGUUAAAUUUCUUUCCUGCCCCUGUUAGUCAAGCCCAUGGAUUUGAGACUGAGCUCCCAGCUCCUGGGCUGCAGCACCAGGUUAAAGCUUUCUUCCUUGGCAGUACUUGUCACCUCAGUGACUGGCUUUUUCUCCGAUGAGCAGGAGGACCUGGACGAAACCCCUGGUGUUUGGGUAAUAACAUGAAUGACCAUCUUAACUGUUAUUCUUUAUUGA
This 827-nucleotide long non-coding RNA is filed under the name Pan troglodytes (chimpanzee). Its description in RNAcentral is "lincRNA". The record is from RNAcentral. Lineage: Eukaryota; Metazoa; Chordata; Mammalia; Primates; Hominidae.